This 211-nucleotide ribosomal RNA is filed under the name uncultured bacterium. Its description in RNAcentral is "partial 16S ribosomal RNA". It matches the Rfam family "Bacterial small subunit ribosomal RNA", at positions 568 to 776 of the family's 1533-position model. The record is from RNAcentral.
UGCGUAGGCGGUUUGCUAAGUUUGAUGUGAAAUCCCGGGGCUCAACCCUGGAAUUGCAUUGAAUACUGGUGAACUAGAGUACUGGAGAGGAAACUGGAAUUUACGGUGUAGCAGUGAAAUGCGUAGAGAUUGUAAGGAAGACCAGUGGCGAAGGCGAGUUUCUGGACAGUUACUGACGCUGAGGCACGAAGGCCAGGGGAGACGAAACGGG